RNAcentral lists this ribosomal RNA (20 nucleotides) under uncultured Glomus. RNAcentral's name for it is "partial 28S ribosomal RNA". Lineage: Eukaryota; Fungi; Glomeromycota; Glomeromycetes; Glomerales; Glomeraceae. The record is from RNAcentral.
GACCUCAAUCCGGNAGAUCC